RNAcentral lists this long non-coding RNA (641 nucleotides) under Fukomys damarensis (Damara mole-rat). RNAcentral describes it as "lncRNA (ENSFDAG00000027294.1)". Lineage: Eukaryota; Metazoa; Chordata; Mammalia; Rodentia; Bathyergidae. The record is from RNAcentral.
GUACUAUGAAUAUAUUUCAUACUGCUGUACUGUCCAGUUAUAAUAGCUAAGAUAGUUAAUUAGCUUUCAUGUGCAUUUUAUCAUAAUUUUUAAAAGGUGCAGAAGAAGUUUUAUCUAUCUUGUCUAUCAGGUCCUAGAACUGACUUACAACCUUGCAACUGCAAUAUUAUCCUAAAAUAAAAAAGGCUGAACAAUAAAUACACAGCUCUGAAAACAGACCAGAAAACUUAUUAGAAUAGAAGAAACAGUCAGUGAAAUCUUAGUGGAAUGCAACUCAAUUGAGGAGGAAAACAGAAACCUCGUGGUGACUUCUGAAUUCUUUAUUUGAUGAAGAAAUGGAGGAGGAGGAGGAGGAGGAAGAGGAGAAGAAAAGAAUUUCAUUCCAGACAAAGCUGUCUAAGGAAAAUAAUCACUGAUUCACAUGAGGCAGACACAGAAGAUGUUCAUGAUAACCACAAAAAGGGUAAAUGGUGGAAAAGGAAAUAAUGGUAAGUAUUUUACAGGAAUAGCAUGCCAACAUUUAAAAUAAUGUUUUCAAACAAUUUAUUAAAAAUGUGGGUUUCUCCUUACAAUGUUGAAGCUUGCAAUAUAGGAAAUUGUGCACAUAAGGACUGUUGCUGAUUAGGCAUAAAAAAUGGGAG